UUUUGUGCAAUUUUAUUAUAAAGAUAGAAUGUCAUUAAAAUACAGAUGAUCCACAUUUUAAAGCAUAUAUAAAUGAGGAAUAAAUCAUCAGUCCUAAAUAUUCUUAAUGAUCUAUUCUGAAAAUGAAGGAACGAGUAUCUUCUUAUGCUCAUAUUUCUCUGUAAAAAAUAAUGCAGCUUAAAGAUUAUGUACAUGCCCAAUCAAAUGUACAGACUAUAUCAGCAUUCCAAAUGUACAAUAAAUAUAUAUAAAUCAUGUAAUAGUAGAACUGAAAUUUGUUGAGUUUUAGUUUUGUUGAUUGCAAUAGAAUUUUUUCCGGAAGAUAUCUUAAAAACUUGAUAUAGAUAUAUUUUCCAUAUAUAUGGGAAAUUUUGCAUCUUUUGUCUCUUUAGCGCUCUCUAUGGGAAUAUAUCUAAAAUUGUUAAUAUGAAAUACUGGAAGAAUUUCUUAAGUUUUGUCAUAUUAUAAAAUUAUGAAACAGAAUAUUUUAGUGAUUCAAUUGAAACAAGUGACAUGCAGGAAAUAUUUUUAAAUGAACUACAAAUAUGAGGUUCAGGAAACUAUAUGUUGACCAAUUAACCAUGAAAAUGAGUUCAAUUCAACUCUGAUAAAUGGAUGUUAGCACUUUACAAUGUAAAACCAAACAAAGAAAACAGUAAUUAAGCAACAUGAGCAUAAAAGUUUGACAUUGAUCAUAAAACUGGGAAAAAAUAGUGUGGACCUUCUAGUCUUAAAAAUCACAAAAAUCAAACAACAAAUCAUUGAACCAUUAACAUGAGGUCAAGGACAAAUGUUGAUUCAAAAAAAAAUUUAAACCACGUCAUAAAAAUACAAAAUUUGGCUUGUCUUAAUAAUGUAUCUUUUUAUAUAUUAGGCAUUUCACAAAUAGUUAACAUUGUUACAAACAGAUUACCAUACAUAUGUUUGGCUUUUGCAUCAGACAAUGAUGUAUGGUAAAUCAAAUGCAUAUUCAAUGUAAGAAAAUGUUAAUGUGAUAUGAAUAAGAACCCCCUAUAUUAUUUAUUUUCAGUAUAUUUUCAGGGCAAGCCAUGCCUUUAAUAAAGUACUCCUUUUAGAAUUUGCUAUAUUUUGUUUCCUCAUAAAAUAAUCAAAGUAACCUUCAACCUCUCUCAAACAAAUAAAAAGAUUGAAUUCUGUAUUUCAUUACAACAUAAAAUCAAACAGUAACUGUCAAAUCAUAUUUAAGCAGUAACAAAACAGCAUUCAUUCCUCUCAGAAAAAUUAACAAUAAAAACAAACAAUUCUAAAUUUACCCCUUAAUCUAAGAUCAAUCUAAAUGUUCUGUAAUGCAUCCAGUCACACAGAUAUUUGAAAUAUAACUUCAAAAAAUGUUAUUUGCAAGCUCGGCUAUAUCACAGACAGAUUUAACUACAAAAAAUAAAAGUUAAAAUCCAGUAAACAAGCAGAUUAUGUAAUCAAAACUUUGAAAGCACAUAAAAUCACCACAAGUUGACUUCAAUGACUUUUCUGCAACUAAGAACAUAGGUAUUUGAUCUUACCUCUAACAAAAGGAAUUCAUACUUUGUUCAUUGAUAGAUGCUGUUAGAACAAACGCUUUGCAAAAAUUUAGCACUAUUGUUUAAAAUGUUACAAUAUAAGUAAAGGCUAUUCUAUUAAAAUGUGUGUCGGAGGGAAGGAAGGAAGGAAGGGUCAUGGAUCUUUUUUUCAGUGUGCAUAUGUUACAGUGAAUUUGUAUAAUCAGUGAUUAUGUAGAAUCCCUGAAAUUUUCAGGGAUUAUGUAGAAUCACUGGCUAGUUUAGGGAUUAUAUAUAAUCACUAAAAUUUUC
Molecule: long non-coding RNA, 1808 nt
Filed under: Mytilus galloprovincialis (Mediterranean mussel)
Lineage: Eukaryota; Metazoa; Mollusca; Bivalvia; Mytilida; Mytilidae
Source: RNAcentral